GGGUGGGCGUUCCGGUUCAUUUUCGGGUCUGCUUGGGAUUUCGUGUUCGGUUCAGAUAUUUGAGGAUUCUGUUCGGAUUUAGAUAACCAAUUUAAAUUGGGUUGGUUUAAAUAUUUGGAUAGUGAGUUAAUAAUUAUUUAAGUGUUUUUGGAGUUUUGAGUAUAUUUUAAAUAUUUACGUUUGAUUAUUUGUAUAUAUUUUCAACUAUUUAAACGUAUUUAAACGAACUUAAAAGUAUCAUAUAUAUUCUGGAUGUUUUUAUAUAUAUUAAAUCUAAAAAUAAUUAAUAUAUAUAAUUAUAUAAAUCUAUUUUUGAUACCCAAAAUACUUCGUUUCGGAUCGGAUUAGGUUUCAGUUUUUCAAAUACCAAAAUUUUGAAUAAUUCGGAUAUUUAAUCAAUUUCGGUUCGGAUUCCGUACUACUUAUUUGGAUUGGGAUCGGUUCGAUUCUUCGAAUUCAAGUUUUUUUCCCAACCCUAAAUAGUGACAUAAAAAUAAAUAGCAUCAUAUUUUUUUAAAAAUACACCCGCGCGUACGCAUUAUUCCAUCAUAAUUAUUUUGUGUUAUUAUUAAAUAAUGUCCAUCCUAUAUUUGUAUAUAUGAUUAUUGGUGAUUUAUUUAUAGUUAAUACCUUCAAAGACUAUAAACAUAAUACAAUAUCCAUUGUAAAAAAAUUGCAUCUUUUACAGAGAUCAACCAUUAUUUUAUACCAACCUUAUUAACUAAACUGAUUUCAUUAACUAUGUUAUAUAUAUGAACACUUUGACAUUAUCAUUCACAAACUAAACGAUGUUUGUCACAACUUAAUAUUCCAAGUUGGCUGUAUUAUUCAAUACCAAACCAGUUCCUAUACGAAUCCAUAGAUAUGAUUAUGGUCUACUUAAAACCGGUUCAAUUUUUCCAUCUGCUAUAUUUUCAGAAAAUGGCUAUUUAUAUUCGGUUCUGUUAGAUAUUUAGUCUAACCAAUUAUAAAUCGGUUAGUGAUAACUUCUAAAAACUUUGAAAAUACUUUGUUAUUUAUUAACACUAUAUCGAUACUUUAAAAUAGGAAAACAGUAGAAUUGUGUUUUAGAACAAAAUCUACUUAUUUUAAAACAUAAUAUUAUUUUGAAAAUAGUUUUGAUACUAUGUAUUAUAUUAAACAUAGUUAUAUAUAUAUAUAUAUAUAUUUGAAAUAAAUAAUUAUAUACAUAAAUUAUACUUUUGGUUAACUAAAUUAUUUAUCAACCAAAUAAAAAUAUUCGGGUAAUUCAAGUUUUUGGGUUAUCCGGUUUAUAAAUGGUAUUUUUAGGAUAUUUGGUUAUUUAAAAAUUGAAUGUAAUUAAUAUUUUUAAAUAUAUAAUUUUUAUUUAAAAAUUCAGGUACUCAUUUGGUUCUCGGUUAGGUUUCAGUUUUCCAGUCAUAGAUAUAUAUGAUUUGCUCUAUUAUUUAUGCAAUUGAGUUCAAUUUUUGUUUUUUCAGUUUGGUACGGUUUGGUCUGUGGUUUUGGAUAAAUGUGCUCAAACUUAUACACUAUCUUAUAUAGAAAUUCGGUUAAAAUAUAUUUAAUUACAAAAACAAACUCGCGCUUUCCAAGUCGGGUCAAAAUCUAGUUGAAUAUUAUUUCUUCAUUUUAGUUAGUACCAAAUGCCAUGGUUUUAUCUUUUUCUUUUUUUUUUUUUGUAACAGCCAUGGUUUUUGUAACAACCAUGGUUUUAUCUAUUAUACUAAGAGUAAUAGUUUAUUAAUUGUGUCAAUUGUUAUAUCACUCCUCACUUUCAGAUAUAUAAUUGUUCUUUCCUUUUGGUUUGACUAUUAAUCUAUUCUAUUAGGAUUUACAAUACAAAAACAUAACUUACAUCCCAGCCCAAUAAAUUAUGAUUUAUUCAACCAGACAUUAAUUUAUUCAAAUUUUACAUAUUUUUUACAGACAUUAAGUUUAUCAAUUAACAAAUCACAUGAUAUUAAAAAUGGAUUUAACGGAUUUUAAGUGGUCUUUUAAUAGAAAUAAAUAUUAAUAUAAACUCAUUUAGUUUAACGGAUUUUAAAUAGGUUAUUCGAUUAAUUUUUUUUAUUAAAUGUAAACAUUAAAACAAAAAAUAUACCCGCCCUUUUAAAGGACGGGUCAGAAUCUAGUAGACGUGUUAAAACUAGAUAGAGCUUCAGCUAUUCCUGGUGGAUUUGAUGAAUCAAAAAUCUAUCUAAAAUAUUUUGUAGCAAUGGCUACUAAAUCUUCCUUAGAUUCCACCAGAUUCCCAAAUCGUCCUUUAGUCUAUUAAAAAACCAAUUAUUAUGUUAAUGUAUAUUAGACUAGUAAAUCUAAAUUUUCAAAAUUAAAUGUAUUUCUGUUUUAAUAAUACAGAUAGAUAUGUCUCAAAAUGUUUCAUGUGCCAAAUAAAUACCACUUCUAUGUUUAUUUUUGAGGAAAAUAUUUAACUAAAAUUUAUUUGUUGUAUUCUUGUAAUUCAAGUAUAUAUGGGUGAAUUAUUUUAUUCACCAAAAUAUUUAACAUAUUUUUGAAAAUAACUUUUUUUAUUUUUAAUAAAAACAUAUAUACUUUAUAUUUUGGAUGUCAAAUAAUUGUUUUUUAAUUUUGUUGUAAAAUUGAGUUAACGAAUAAUCUAUUUAGAGAAUAAUCUUAAGUCUCGUAUAUUUGGUUAGAUAAAAGUCUAAAAAUAAAUUAUUAUGGUUAAUUAAUUAAAUUUGGUAAGUGUGGAUAGAGAAGAAUCUAACAAAAUAAAUGAUUUGUUGUUAAUUAAUUAAUAGUUAUUAAUUAAGUGGCCCAAAUCUACUCAAUUAAAAGAGAAGUACACAUUAGAAUUAACAUUUACCUCAUGUGUUAUUUACACUAAUUGCCAUUGGAAUUUAUAUUUUCAUUAAGGAUAUUUUUGUCUUUGACAAAUGAAUCAAUCUAAUUAUUUAUCUGAAAUAAUAUAUUUUAACAAAAUUAUGUUUUUCCAAAAAUGAGACAGCAAAUUUUUUUUCUCAGAUUUGUUUUAUUUUCAAAGGGAGAUAUGGGAAGGUCAAAGUUAAUCAAAAAGAUAGUUUCACUAGGAUAUCCUUUUUACAUAUUUUCUGGUUUUUAUUAGAGGAAAGAAUGAUGUGAUGUUAAUUCAUUUUAUUUUUAAGCCUCUGCCAAUGAAAUGCAGUAGACCCUCUUUUAAAUUAAUAAUAUUGGAACUUUGAAAUUUUAUUAAUUUAUAAAGAUAUUGAUUUACAAAAGUUUACACAUUUAGAUUUCUUAUUUUAAGAUAUAUUUAUUCUAAGAUAAGAAAAAUAUUUGAUUUUAAUGUAUAGACAUUAAUUGUUAUUUUUUUGAAAUUUGACAUUUAUAUUAAUUUUAUUAUAUUAGUUGGUGUACGGCCAUAAAUGGACUUCUUGAGACGUAAAACAGCAUUCCUUGGCAAAGAGUCCAUCUUACUCUCAGCACGGUGGAUCACCUUACCCACAAACAAAAGGAAUAACAGAGAAGUUUCCCUUGAAUGUGCAUCAAAUCCUAAGACAAGCCUAUCUAAUCUCACCUCUUAGUCUAAAGCACUCAAAUCCCUUCUAAGGAGCCAGCCUUUUUUGAAUCCCUCUCUUUUCCCCCAUAGUCCAGCCACCGGAUUGGAAUUUACCAUUUGAGGUCAUGUGCGAUGCAAGUGACUACGCGGUUGGAGCCAAAGUCAAGUUUCUUGCUUGUUUCUUUAGAAAGAUUGCAGUCUUCGCGAAACAACUUAGGAGAAGAGCCCAACUACCAAUCCUAUGUUCUCCCAAUCCUGGAACUGGCGGAAAUCUAACGAAUUCGGGAAAGCAAGAUGAUCGACACUGGAAAAGACGUCUUGGCGAAAGGUGCUUGGGGCUGGUUACCGGAGGUAUUCCUGUCAGCCUUGUAACAUUAACCCAAAAACCAAUCGUCACUGGUUUCAUUCUUGUCGAUUUCAUAGAACUUAAAUGUGGUUUUAGAUAAAAUAUUACUAAAUCUCAUCAAAAAUAUAUUAAGUGUUAAGAAAAUAUAAAGAUAAUUCCAUUGUGAAUAUAAAACAAACAAUAUAAUAAUAGGUUAUUAUUACUUAUAUAAAAACAGAUACAUAUAAAUUAUUAAUUUAUAAUUUUAAUGGGUCCAUAUAUUUACAUAAAAAUUUCUAAAAAUCUAUUGUCUUAUUAUUUUAUCGAUCUGUGUCAAAUUUUGAACCGGCCCAAGUUGGCACCGACAAAAUUUAUUAAUUUAUAGAUAUUAUUAAUUUUUAGAAUAUUAAUUUAUGGAGGUUCUACUGUAGGUAAAACCCGUUAUCUUAAUAUGUUUCUAAUUUAUUUACAACACUUAACAUAUAUACUAUAAAUAUGAUAUAUAUAUAUAUAUGAUAGUUUUUUUAAGAACAAGUGCUUCCACUAUAUAAGGUGUUAUAAUAUCAAUAUAUAACCAUAUUAAAUGUUUUUUCUUUAAAUAAUAAAAUUAACUUUUGUCUUAUAUACAUAUCGUCUACACAACUAUAUUUAAACUAUAAGAAUACAAAAAAUGAAGUAAAUAAUUUUUCAUAAAACUACUAGACAUAUUCAUUUAAAUAAAUAUAAAUUAUUUUUGCCAAAAAAUAUUUGGUUUCAGUAAAAUAAAUAUAUUAACAUACAUACUAACUGGUUAGACUAACUCAUAUAAAAUACAAUAUAUAAAUGAUCCAUGCGACGGUAGGUAUCAAAUAAAAAAUAACUUAUCUACCAUAGAAAAUUGAUUUAUUUAUCAAGAUGCAAUACAAUAUGAGAAUAUCACAAAUAUACAAAUAGUUAAAAACUAUUAAAUAAUUAUUAAAAUAUUUCGCAUUACAAAUUGGAAAAACAACUAUAGUAACAUGCACGGGAUGAGUUGGUCAAAUCCUAGUUAUAAUUAUUAGGAUGAAAGAAGGGUUUACUAACCGGGCCUCGUGGUCUGGUGGUAAAAGGAACUUCGGUUGAGGUGCUCGCCAUCACGACUUCGAGCCCCCGCCACAGCGGAUUUAACAUUCCUUCCGCUGGGGCGCUGGACUCCCUACGGAUGGAUAGUUGGGACUGUGGCUGCCCAGAUACCAGAGUUAUCAAAAAAAAAAAAAAAAAAAAAAAGGGUUUACUUAUUAAAAUUAACAUCAGUUUUAAUAGUAGAAGAAACAAGACAUAAUCUGAGUCUCAUUUUCUCAAAUUAAAAACGGAGAAGUCUUCUAAGGCAAGCGGAAAGAUGUCAAAUAUUCGGGGCAACAAGGAAAUAAAUUCUAAGUUACGUUUAUUAGAGGCAAAAAAUCCAACAAUAAAGAAAUAAUUCAGAGUUUUCUCACAGACACAACGGCUUAGAGCCUCACUAGUUCAAACGCGGCGGUUGCGGCUGUACGAAUUUGCAGAAGCGGAUAGCUGCGAUUUCAAGCAUUAUUUAGUGUUUUGUUUGACUGGCACAACAUUUAAAAAUUAUUUCGUUUGCAGAUCAUUUUGACUGGUUUACCAACAAAUGCAUAAAUCAAUUAAUAAAAAAUUAUUUAAUAGUCACACUACAAAAAAAAUGUGCUUUGAUAGCAGUGAAGGAUAACGUUUUUUGCCUUUCUACUAUGGUUGACAUACCCGUUAGUUUUAGAUAGGGUUUUUAUAUUUAGAAACACUAUGAUAGAGCUGUAUAUUUAAAAACGCUAUGAUAGCGUAUUUUUAAUAGCGCAUUAUUAAAAACGCUAUCUUUGACUUUUUAAAUCUCUAAACCCUAAACAAGUUUUAAACCCUAAACUUUAAACAUAACUUCAAAAUCUAACUAUUUUAAUAUCAAAUCUUAAAUUUAACCUCAAAUAUUAAAUAUAAACUCAAAAACUAUUUCUUUUUCAAUAAUUAAUCUUAAAUCCCAAUACCCUAAACCUUUAACCCCCAAACCCUAUACUCAAACCUUUAUUCUAAACUCAUAACUUUAAAUCUAAAAUCUAAAUUCAAAAAAAAAAAUCAAACUUAAACUUUAUUCUUCAAAUAAAUUCAAAUUUAUUUUUGAAUUUUAACUUAAAAUCUUAACCUUGAACUCUAAACCUUAUAUACUCAAAUCUUAUAUAUCAUAAUAAACCUCAAACCUUCAAUUUAUACAUUUAGUUAUUAAACUAAAUCAUAAAUCACAAAUCUAAUAUUCUCAAACUUAAACACCAAACUUUGAGCAUACAUUUUUAAAAUUUUAAUAUGUUUAAAUUUAAACCUUUAAACUAAUUUUAUUUACUAUACUCUUGUAUUUUAAACCUUUAAACUAAUUUCAUUUUACAUUUAAAGUAAAUCAUAACUUAUAAACAAUUUUAAAAUUUUCAGUCUAUUAUUUGAAACAUUGAACCAAACUAUAAUUACAUUAAUUAUAUUUUUUUGGUCGAAAUUAUAUAAAUAUUUAACUUAAUUAUUAUAUGUUUGGUUUAUCUUUUUCCUUUUUUCUCAUUGGUCAAUAUCUUAAACACAAGGAUAGCAAUCUUGACCACUGAGUAUUUUUGAUCCUAUGGCUAGAAAUCACACAUCUCAUAUCUCAAUCUCUUUCUUCCUUCCUUUUUCUUCCUUCCUUUCUUCCUUCCUUGUCUCACGUUAUCUCUCUCUUUUUUUUUGUUACAGAUCUAAAUCUGAUAUGAUCUAAAUCUUUUUUAAUUCUUUGGAUCUCUAUCUUCCUCAAUCACCACCACCACACGACGAACCGUUUGUUUUCGCCGUCCCAGCAUCACAACCACCACCACACGACCGUUCGUUCGCCGUCCCAGCAUCACCACCACCACACAACCACAGGAUGGAGGAAGCAAGGCAAGGCAGGUAUGGCGGCUGGAGGAGGAAGAUGACGGCUUCAGAUUCAGGAAGAGGAAGCUGACGGCGAGUUGGUGAGGAGGCGACGAGAUUAGGUCUAGAUGGAUGUGACGUUUGCCUCCUCUCUGCAACUUGCCUCUCAAAUCCCAGGAUGAAGAAGAAUCAUGGCUGGAUACUAAUGAAGGUCAUGGAAAAACACGAAGACGAAGGUGGUGGUGCGGCCGGUAGAUGAAGAAGACAACGAAGUGGUGGUGUGUUUAGUUAGUAAUUAGGUUAAAGCCUGGUUUAGUUUUUGGUUUAUUUAGUUUGUUGGUUUAUUAUUUAAUCUGAUUUUUUUUUUGUAUUUUUGUAAACCAAUUUAACUAUAGAUAAAUUUAAGUAAUAAAGAAAAUUUGAUUCUA
Long non-coding RNA from Brassica napus (rape), 7120 nucleotides. RefSeq lists it as uncharacterized. The record is from RefSeq and is a predicted model, not a curated record. Lineage: Eukaryota; Viridiplantae; Streptophyta; Magnoliopsida; Brassicales; Brassicaceae. The transcript has 2 exons.